GAUGAACGCUGGCGGCGUGCCUAAUACAUGCAAGUCGAGCGAACGGACGAGAAGCUUGCUUCUCUGAUGUUAGCGGCGGACGGGUGAGUAACACGUGGAUAACCUACCUAUAAGACUGGGAUAACUUCGGGAAACCGGAGCUAAUACCGGAUAAUAUUUUGAACCGCAUGGUUCAAAAGUGAAAGACGGUCUUGCUGUCACUUAUAGAUGGAUCCGCGCUGCAUUAGCUAGUUGGUAAGGUAACGGCUUACCAAGGCAACGAUGCAUAGCCGACCUGAGAGGGUGAUCGGCCACACUGGAGCUGAGACACGGUCCAGACUCCUACGGGAGGCAGCAGUAGGGAAUCUUCCGCAAUGGGCGAAAGCCUGACGGAGCAACGCCGCGUGAGUGAUGAAGGUCUUCGGAUCGUAAAACUCUGUUAUUAGGGAAGAACAUAUGUGUAAGUAACUGUGCACAUCUUGACGGUACCUAAUCAGAAAGCCACGGCUAGCUACGUG
This 497-nucleotide ribosomal RNA is filed under the name uncultured bacterium. Its description in RNAcentral is "partial 16S ribosomal RNA". It matches the Rfam family "Bacterial small subunit ribosomal RNA", at positions 28 to 507 of the family's 1533-position model. The record is from RNAcentral.